This 861-nucleotide ribosomal RNA is filed under the name uncultured fungus. RNAcentral's name for it is "eukaryotic LSU rRNA". The stretch from base 597 to 861 matches the Rfam family "Eukaryotic large subunit ribosomal RNA", at positions 1 to 259 of the family's 3401-position model. The record is from RNAcentral. Lineage: Eukaryota; Fungi.
CAUUAUUGAAUAAACUUGAACAAGCUGAUUUUGCUGGCUUCUUUAGAGGCAUGUGCACGCUUGUCAUCUUUAUCUUUCCAACUGUGCACUUUUUGUAGAUCUUGGGGAAGUUUGAAUUAUUUUGAAUAGAUUGAGGACUGCUGUACUUUUCAGCUUUACCUUGUAUUUCCAGAUCUAUGUUUUUAUUAUAAACCUUUUGAUAUGUCUAGAAUGUUACAACGAGUUGAUAAAAUAAUUUAUACAACUUUCAGCAACGGAUCUCUUGGCUCUUGCAUCGAUGAAGAACGCAGCGAAAUGCGAUAAGUAAUGUGAAUUGCAGAAUUCAGUGAAUCAUCGAAUCUUUGAACGCAUCUUGCGCUCUUUGGUAUUCCAAGGAGCAUGCCUGUUUGAGUGUCAUUAAGUUCUCAACCAUAUUAAAUUCUUUUAAUGUGGCUUGGUUGUUGGAAGCUUGCAGGUCAUUUUAUAUAGAUCUGCUCUUCUAAAAUGGAUUAGUGGUAUCUGAGCAGACACUACUACAGAUGUGAUAAUUAUCAUUUACAUCUUAGUCAUGCUGCAAUAGUAGAUUAUACUGCUUCUAACACACAUUAUGAUAUAUUUGACCUCAAAUCAGGUAGGACUACCCGCUGAACUUAAGCAUAUCAAUAAGCGGAGGAAAAGAAACUAACAAGGAUUCCCUUAGUAACUGCGAGUGAAGUGGGAAAAGCUCAAAUUUGAAAUCUGGCAGCUUUUAACUGUCCGAGUUGUAAUCUAGAGAAGUGUUACCUGUCCUGGACCAUGUACAAGUCUUCUGGAAUGGAGUAUCAUAGAGGGUGAGAAUCCCGUCUUUGACAUGGACUACCAGUGCAUUAUGGUGUGCUCUCA